GAUGAACGCUGGCGGCGUGCCUAAUACAUGCAAGUCGAGCGAACAGACGAGAGUGCUUGCACUCUCUGACGUUAGCGGCGGACGGGUGAGUAACACGUGGGUAACCUACCUAUAAGACUGGGAUAACUUCGGGAAACCGGAGCUAAUACCGGAUAAUAUUUAGCUUCGCAUGAAGCAGUAGUGAAAGACGGUUCUGCUGUCACUUAUAGACGGACCCGCGGUGUAUUAGCUAGUUGGUGAGGUAACGGCUCACCAAGGCAACGAUACAUAGCCGACCUGAGAGGGUGAUCGGCCACACUGGGACUGAGACACGGCCCAGACUCCUACGGGAGGCAGCAGUAGGGAAUCUUCCGCAAUGGACGAAAGUCUGACGGAGCAAUGCCGCGUGAGUGAAGAAGGUUUUCGGAUCGUAAAACUCUGUUGUAAGGGAAGAACAAGUACGUUAGUAACUGAACGUACCUUGACGGUACCUUACCAGAAAGCCACGGCUAACUACGUG
RNAcentral lists this ribosomal RNA (499 nucleotides) under uncultured bacterium. RNAcentral's name for it is "partial 16S ribosomal RNA". It matches the Rfam family "Bacterial small subunit ribosomal RNA", at positions 28 to 507 of the family's 1533-position model. The record is from RNAcentral.